This 301-nucleotide ribosomal RNA is filed under the name uncultured bacterium. Its description in RNAcentral is "partial 16S ribosomal RNA". It matches the Rfam family "Bacterial small subunit ribosomal RNA", at positions 509 to 807 of the family's 1533-position model. The record is from RNAcentral.
CAGCCGCCGCGGUAAUACGAGGGGGGCAAGCGUUGUUCGGAAUUAUUGGGCGUAAAGGGUGCGUAGGCGGUUUCGUAAGUCUUAUGUGAAAUCUAUGGGCUCAACCCAUAGUCUGCAUGGGAAACUGCGAGGCUUGAGGAUGGGAGAGGUGAGUGGAAUUUCCGGUGUAGCGGUGAAAUGCGUAGAUAUCGGAAGGAACGCCUGUGGCGGAAGCGGCCCACUGGACCAUUUCUGACGCUGAUGCACGAAAGCUAGGGGAGCAAACAGGAUUAGAUACCCCAGUAGUCCCUGUCUCUUAUAC